Molecule: long non-coding RNA, 2972 nt
Organism: Passer domesticus (house sparrow)
Lineage: Eukaryota; Metazoa; Chordata; Aves; Passeriformes; Passeridae
Exons: 3
Source: RefSeq, a predicted model, not a curated record
GUGCAGAGAGGAAGGAGUCAGUGCUGGGAGGAGCUGCCCAUGAAAAUCUCCAAGAAGAACUUUAGUGACAUAACAAGAAAACAGGACAAAGAAGCCUCUGGACCCACUCUGAGGGGCUGACCUAGGGGAACAGAUUGUGCCAUGCAGGGCAAUUAUAGAUGGUAUUAGCAUAGGAGUGAGGCUAAGGGCAAUGCUGCAUCUCCUCUGAAGAAUACAAAUAAAAGGAUAGUCUUUGUAUCUAAGCAACAGUCCUGCCUGAUGCUGAAAGAGAACAUCAUCUCUCAUGCCUAACUAUUCCUUUAACAUGAAUGAACCUCUGGAGGCACUUGUAUGAAGAGUUGCUUGUGCUCCAGGGCUGCCAUUCUGCAGAAUUUAAAACGUAGUACCUUAUUUCCUGGGUUUAACACAGUUCUCCAAACAAUCACCGGAGAAUUGAACUAGCUCAAUAAAUGUCUGCAUUCUUAUCAGUUGCUGAGAUUAUUACCACGUCAAUCUUUACUUCAGUCAAAACAGUUGGGAGUUUUUUUGAUGCCAGUGUAGAAAUCAUGACGACCAGGUUGCAAUUCCUACCACACGGAGCUCUCUGCUGAGAACCAAAACUAAUUCAGUCUGAAGGAUACAGAAAAUUCUACAGCUCUGGAAAAAUAGCGCUGGAAUAAAAUCUGGAAAAAAUCACACCAUUGAGAAUAAGAAGCCAUCUUUAUAAUGUUUCUAUCUUUUUAAAAUUUUGAAAAGCAAGAAGAUGGUGCAUCAAUAAAUUUUUAAUAAGCUUUUUCACUGUCCUUAUGAGUUUAAGAUGGACUAAAUACUGUUCUUUUUGACAUAAAAAUUAUGGAAUGCAGAGAACACUGUUUAAGACAGGCUAGAAGAAUUGCCAUGGACUCAGAAAUGGAUGCUAAUGGAAAAUGAAGUGGCAACUGUGAGUUUAUACUAGCAAAUGGAAAGUGUGAACAUGCAGUUGUGUGGAUAUAUGCAUUGACAAAAUGUUCUUUGGGAUUACAGUGCUUUUAGUCCUCAAUGUCACAAACCCCUAUUUUUGAAAGCAAAUUUUGUAUUAAAACUUGGAGUUCCUUUUAGAUUAUGAGCAAAAUGCAGAUUACUGAAACUGGUGUCAAUUUUGCUCACUGAGGAAACAUGGAGAUAUUUAGUGGUAGAAAUAGGGAAAAGAUAUUCUUAUUGACUAAGUUUCAAGCUUUACUUUGAGUCCUGGACAUAACAGCAGAAUGCAUGAGAGCAUUUAAUUUAUAGGGUAGGCAGAUAUUUGUCAUUGUCCUUCUCUGAGUUUUGAGAGGGCAGGGUACUAGAAUCUCUUGUUCUCAUAGACCAAAGCCAUGGUUACCUGGCCUGUGUAUUAUAUCAAGGAUAAGUUCUAUUAAUUUCUAGAAUUAGUAGAUCUGAUUUUUCCUUUAAUAUGUAAGGAGUAAUUACAUUAGGUGCAAUGCUCUUGAAGUGACAAUGGUAUCUACAUCCAAACAAUUGUCUGAAUGAGAAAUGGCUGAGAAGUGGAGGUCUUGUAUAUGUAUUUCCCCAGCAACAAGUUGCAUGUAAUAAUGUUAAUUAAACCACAUAAGUCUGUAAUUUUUAAAAGAACUAAUGGAUCUCUCUUUAAAAUCUAUAUAAUAUAGGAUAAAAUCAUUAUCUGUAAGAUGCACUGAUCUUCCCUUGACCUUCCUUUAAUUUUUCUACUCUUACAAUACAUCUUGGGAGAACAGCAGUCUAGGUAAAUCUGACAGACAAGAAGGUGGUUUCCUUUCUGUGGUUGCUGAGCCAGUCUGAACACCUGUUCUGCUCCUGUGUAAUUUCUCUGCACACAGCUUCAAAUAGUGUUUGAUGAUCACUCACAACAUUUGUAAUAAAAACUGAAUAAGAGCUCCAUACAGACAAAUGCAUCUCUAGUGAGCUUGACUGUGGGUUUGAGAUAUGGAAGAAAAUAUAGUUCUUCAAUAUUAAAUAAGACUUUGAACUAGAGGUAGGCCUUGAUCUUCACUUCUGCAGCCAAAGAAGAAAUAAAGUCUGCUUUUAUUUUACUGGAACUGGUGAAGGAAAUCUAAUUCAAGAAUGAAGAGCAGUCACAGGAAAACAAAACAUACAAACAAAAUCUUUUCCAUUUGGCAAAAAGACUGCAUCAUACUAUUCUGUAUGUGGACUUCGAGUGAUAAUCUGGGCUUUGCAGUCCCUGAGCUCAAAUGUAACAAUGGCCAGGCUUAAACAGAUAAGUCUUCCUCUGAGGAGUACAAGAGGAUGAAUACCAGCACAGUGAGUCUGACCUGCCUUGUGCCAGUUUGAGCACCUGAGUAAAACUGAAGGAGUCUACUGGUUUCAGUACAGCAAUAUCAAUCACACGACCCUGUGUUUUAUUUGAUUUGUUAGUCACUUCCUGUAAUUAAGUUCAAAGUUUUUGUUUGAACUAUGUCUACUUUUCAAUCACUUGAGAAAAUGGAUGAUUUUUUCAGAGGUUGGCCUUGAAUAGUAAUGGAGUUUUGGGGCAUACUUUUCCAAGAAGCAGUUCAGGAGUGAGGGAAGAAUACUGUUGUCCUAUGGAUCUCUUCAAAAUAAUUUUUUGUGGUUGAUUUUGCCAGUCUUGGUUUGGUAUCACAAAACGCUUGCCUGGAUACCUCAUAAAAAUUUAGAUUUUUUUUUUUCGAUGUGGUUUGAGCAAAAUCUUUUUAAACAAAAUAUCUCUAAUCCCAUAGUCAAACCCUAGUUGAUUUCUGAAUUUGAAAGCUAUGGUAAUACUAUGCUACAGUAUUUGAGGAUAUUUAGUCCUAACUUCCAUACUCAGUGGCUGCCACUAUAAAUAAUAAAUUAUAUAUUGAAAAGUAAGUGAAAGAAGAGUCCAUUUCUAUAUCAAAUUCAAUUCAAUGACAUCUAAAAGCUAUAAAUAUUUCUUUCUUUAACAAAAGAUUCUGUGGUUUUUUUCUUUAAUAAGAAUUUGCUGAAGAUAAUCUUCUUAAAUAAAAGUACUAUCUCUA